CAGCAGUAAACAAACAGCCAUGCUAAGAAAGGCACCCUCAUUUAAUAGCAGCAGUAAACAAACAGCCAUGCUAAGAAAGGCACCUCAUUUAAUAGCAGCAGUAAACAAACAGCCAUGCUAAGAAAGGCACCCUCAUUUAAUAGCAGCAGUAAACAAACAGCCAUGUUAAGAAAGGCACCCUCAUUUAAUAGCAGCAGUAAACAAACAGCCAUGCUAAGAAACACACCUCAUUUAAUAGCAGCAGUAAACAAACAGCCAUGUUAAGAAAGGCACCCUCAUUUAAUAGCAGCAGUAAACAAACAGCCAUGCUAAGAAAGGUACCUCAUUUAAUAGCAGCAGUAAACAAACAGCUAUGUUAAGAAAGGCACCCUCAUUUAAUAGCAGCAGUAAACAAACAGCCAUGCUAAGAAAGGCACCUCAUUUAAUAGCAGCAGUAAACAAACAGCCAUGCUAAGAAAGGCACCCUCAUUUGAUAGCAGCAGUAAACAAACAGACAUGCUAAGAAAGGCACCUCAUUUAAUAGCAGCAGUAAA
This is a long non-coding RNA of Protopterus annectens (West African lungfish), 533 nucleotides long. RefSeq lists it as uncharacterized. NCBI's taxonomy places the organism in Eukaryota, Metazoa, Chordata, Ceratodontiformes, Protopteridae. The record is from RefSeq and is a predicted model, not a curated record. The transcript is spliced from 2 exons.